Molecule: small nuclear RNA, 24 nt
Filed under: Arabidopsis thaliana (thale cress)
Lineage: Eukaryota; Viridiplantae; Streptophyta; Magnoliopsida; Brassicales; Brassicaceae
Description: snRNA_18279
Source: RNAcentral
UAAACAUAAAUUAAAGAAGUCGUU